Molecule: ribosomal RNA, 443 nt
Filed under: uncultured Microvirga sp.
Lineage: Bacteria; Pseudomonadati; Pseudomonadota; Alphaproteobacteria; Hyphomicrobiales; Methylobacteriaceae
Description: bacterial SSU rRNA
Rfam family: Bacterial small subunit ribosomal RNA
Source: RNAcentral
AGAGUUUGAUCCUGGCUCAGAACGAACGCUGGCGGCAGGCCUAACACAUGCAAGUCGAACGAUAAGCCACCUUCGGGUGGUGGACAGUGGCAGACGGGUGAGUAACGCGUGGGAACGUGCCUUUCGGUUCGGAAUAACCCAGGGAAACUUGGGCUAAUACCGGAUACGCCCUUCGGGGGAAAGAUUCAUUGCCGAAAGAUCGGCCCGCGUCGGAUUAGCUAGUUGGUGGGGUAAUGGCUCACCAAGGCGACGAUCCGUAGCUGGUCUGAGAGGAUGACCAGCCACACUGGGACUGAGACACGGCCCAGACUCCUACGGGAGGCAGCAGUGGGGAAUAUUGGACAAUGGGCGCAAGCCUGAUCCAGCCAUGCCGCGUGGGUGAAGAAGGCCUUAGGGUUGUAAACCCCUUUCAGCGGGGAAGAUAAUGACGUACCCGCAGAAGA